AGUGACAUCCGGCGAAAGCCGGCUCCCGCAAGGGCAGUUGCCGAGGUGCUGCAUGGCUGUCGUCAGCUCGUGUCGUGAGAUGUUGGGUUAAGUCCCGCAACGAGCGCAACCCUUGUCCGCUGUUGCCAUCAGGUUAAGCUGGGCACUCUGCGGAGACUGCCGGUGAUAAACCGGAGGAAGGUGGGGAUGACGUCAAGUCAGCAUGGCCUUUAUGUCUGGGGCUACACACGUGCUACAAUGGCAGAUACAAACCGUCGCGAGACCGCAAGGUGGAGCUAAUCGGAGAAAGUCUGUCUCAGUUCGGAUUGCAGGCUGCAACUCGCCUGCAUGAAGUUGGAAUCGCUAGUAAUCGCGGAUCAGCACGCCGCGGUGAAUACGUUCCCGGGCCUUGUACACACCGCCCGUCACAUCACGAAAGCUGGCUGUACUAGAAGUCGCCGCGCUAACCCGCAAGGGAGGCAAGCGCCUAAGGUAUGGUUAGUGAUUGGGGUG
This 492-nucleotide ribosomal RNA is filed under the name uncultured bacterium. Its description in RNAcentral is "bacterial SSU rRNA". It matches the Rfam family "Bacterial small subunit ribosomal RNA", at positions 990 to 1482 of the family's 1533-position model. The record is from RNAcentral.